Molecule: non-coding RNA, 122 nt
Organism: Picea glauca (white spruce)
Lineage: Eukaryota; Viridiplantae; Streptophyta; Pinopsida; Pinales; Pinaceae
Source: Rfam
GUACAUGCUUAUAACAUAGCGUUAACGCACCAAAACCCAUUAGAAUUUCGUAGUUAAACGCGCUCGGUACUAGAGUAGUACUGGGAUGGGUGACCUCCCAGGAAGUCCUAGUAUUUUACAUG